Molecule: ribosomal RNA, 439 nt
Filed under: uncultured bacterium
Lineage: Bacteria
Description: bacterial SSU rRNA
Rfam family: Bacterial small subunit ribosomal RNA
Source: RNAcentral
UACGGGAGGCAGCGGUGGGGAAUAUUGCACAAUGGGCGCAAGCCUGAUGCAGCCAUGCCGCGUGUAUGAAGAAGGCCUUCGGGUUGUAAAGUACUUUCAGUCGUGAGGAAGGUGUUAAGGUUAAUAACCUUAGCAAUUGACGUUAGCGACAGAAGAAGCACCGGCUAACUCCGUGCCAGCAGCCGCGGUAAUACGGAGGGUGCGAGCGUUAAUCGGAAUUACUGGGCGUAAAGGGCACGCAGGCGGUUAAUUAAGUUGGAUGUGAAAUCCCCGGGCUUAACCUGGGAAUGGCAUUCAAGACUGGUUAGCUAGAGUCUUGUAGAGGGGGUAGAAUUCCAUGUGUAGCGGUGAAAUGCGUAGAGAUGUGGAGGAAUACCGGUGGCGAAGGCGGCCCCUGGACAAAGACUGACGCUCAUGUGCGAAAGCGUGGGGAGCAAAC